UACGUAGGGUGCAAGCGUUAAUCGGAAUUACUGGGCGUAAAGCGUGCGCAGGCGGCUAUGCAAGACAGGUGUGAAAUCCCCGGGCUUAACCUGGGAACUGCGCUUGUGACUGCAAGACUCGAGUACGGCAGGAGGGGGGUAGAAUUCCACGUGUAGCAGUGAAAUGCGUAGAGAUGUGGAGGAAUACCGAUGGCGAAGGCAGCCCCCUGGGUCGAUACUGACGCUCAUGCACGAAAGCGUGGGGAGCGAACAGG
RNAcentral lists this ribosomal RNA (254 nucleotides) under uncultured bacterium. Its description in RNAcentral is "partial 16S ribosomal RNA". It matches the Rfam family "Bacterial small subunit ribosomal RNA", at positions 524 to 776 of the family's 1533-position model. The record is from RNAcentral.